GGCAGGGUGCUGCAUGUCCUGUCCUUCCACUGCAAUUAUUGCUCUUCUCUAGAUGUGACUUCAGUGAAUAACAAGUGUUAGAGUCACUGACACCUCAAACGUUCUUUGAAGAGACUAAAAGAUGGAAAGGUUAAAAAAAUAUGCAAUGUCUAACUAAUGUUGAUUAUGAAAAUUGAUUGUUUUUGCAUAACCCUUUCUGCUUAGGAGAAAAAUGAAGGCAGUGCCUUCUUCCAGUUUAAACUUCCCAGUUUUAACUCAAUAUUUGUAUCAGACUCAGCAGUGCUGACAACUGACUUGCUAACAGAGGCUGUUUGAAAGCACAAAGGCUGCAAACAAAGCUGUAUGAAGCUUAUGACCCUUCUGCCAUAAAGACCCUUCCUAGUUUUGCUUCCCUUCCUGCCUGAAGGUCUCUCAUUGUAUGUUUUACCAGUUUCUCCUUCCCCAAAUAACCUGAUGCACAAUUAAUUCAAUUUCAAUAGAAAAAGA
This 486-nucleotide long non-coding RNA is filed under the name Manacus vitellinus (golden-collared manakin). RNAcentral describes it as "lncRNA (ENSMVIG00005019854.1)". Lineage: Eukaryota; Metazoa; Chordata; Aves; Passeriformes; Pipridae. The record is from RNAcentral.